RNAcentral lists this ribosomal RNA (407 nucleotides) under uncultured bacterium. Its description in RNAcentral is "partial 16S ribosomal RNA". It matches the Rfam family "Bacterial small subunit ribosomal RNA", at positions 28 to 526 of the family's 1533-position model. The record is from RNAcentral.
GACGAACGCUGGCGGCGUGCCUAAUACAUGCAAGUAGAACGCAGUUGCGAACGGGUGAGUAACGCGUAGGUAAAUGACUCAUCGAGGGGGGUAACUCUUGGAAACGAUAGCUAAAACAGCAUACUGUGAGCUGGACCUGAGUUUGAUUAGCUAGUUGGUGAGGUAAAGGCUCACCAAGGCGACGAAACAAAGCCGACCUGAGAGGAUGAUCGGCCACACUGGGACUGAGACACGGCCCAGACUCCUACGGGAGGCAGCAGUAGGGAAUCUUCGGCAAUGGACGGAAGUCUGACCGAGCAACGCCGCGUGAGUGAAGACGUUUUUCGGAUCGUAAAGCUCUGUUGUUAGAGAAGCGGUACCUAACCAGAAAGGGACGGCUAACUACGUGCCAGCAGCCGCAGUAAUAC